UCAGAUUUCCAGGUUUGGGUUUGGAGAUUUAUGCAACUGCCUAUUAACUUGAGACAAGUGGGUAACAUCAGAGGUCGCUGAGGAUGCCUGGGCAAGGACAGACUACACUGAGGCACAAUCCAGGUUGCCCCUCGGCCUCCAACGUUCGAGUGAAAGCAGACCAAGCGUGUCCAAUCUCUCCUCACGGCCAACACCCUCUAAACCAGAUUACGGUGUCUGGACUCAGCAAGGGAACAUGGAACUGCUUCUGAAAUUAACAUGCCCGGCCUUCCAUGAGACUGCUUCUGAAAUGGACAUAAGAGUUGAACACGCUCAGGCCUUGCACAC
Molecule: non-coding RNA, 327 nt
Organism: Chiloscyllium plagiosum (whitespotted bambooshark)
Lineage: Eukaryota; Metazoa; Chordata; Chondrichthyes; Orectolobiformes; Hemiscylliidae
Source: RefSeq, a predicted model, not a curated record